CGAAUGCAUGUCUACCACAUGGUCAACCAUACCAUUGAACUGACGCAUACUCUCCAGGAACAAGGCGGCUGCGCGAAGCGAUAUGCGCGUGAGCCUAAUAUCAAAGAGGCCGACAUCGUGGAACUCUGGAAUUCUUCAGUGAAUACACUUAUUAAUUAAGCAGGGCCACUUUAUCCAAGCAGUGUUACUGGAGUGGAACCAGUGAUAAAAGAUAUUAGAAUAUGGCAACUGGAAAUAUUCCUAGACAUGUGGUUUUAACAGGAUUACCAGGUACAGGCAAGACAACUCUAAUUCAAAAAGCGUGUGAUGUUCUUCAGAAGAAAGGUGUGACUGCACAAGGAUUUUAUACUGAGGAAGUACGGCAACAUGGCAAACGAUUUGGCUUUGAUGUGAUCACUUUGGAUGGAACAAGAGAUGCUCUGGCACGAGUCGGAGAACCGCUUGAAAAUGAUAGAAGAAGGCAUCGUGUUGGACAGUAUACCGUAAAUCUUCAAUCAUUUGAACGGAUUGCUCUUCCAGCGUUAAAGAAAAAGUCUAACGUCUCAUGCGUAUUUGUGAUUGAUGAAAUUGGAAAGAUGGAAAUGUUUAGUGAGAGCUUUGUUCGUGAAGUUCGGGAUUUGCUGAACAACCCAAGGACCACAGUGCUAACAUCAAUUCCUGUGGCGAGAGGAAAACACAUACCAUUUGUGGAGGAGAUACGUCAUAGAAAAGACGUCGUACUUUACCAGAUAACGAAGGCGAACAGGGAGCAGUUACUGGAAGAAAUUGUACAAUCAAUACUACAAUCUCAUGAACACUAUCAUGUAAGAAGUGCUUGAAUUCCUGCGUGUAACCAGUCUUGAAAGACAUUAUUAUAUAGCAAAAUCUCUUUAUUUCAAUGAACCUCGAAAGAAUUGAGAAUAAAAGCCAUUCUAAACCACAAUUGGGUGAUGCUCUCUACGACCAAAGUCCACUCUGUUGAGCUAUGGUACUUUUUUGAGAUACUUCAUGUCCGGAAGUAGGUUGGCCUUCUUACAAAGAGAAAGCUUAAUACCUUACAACGUUGGGUAUUCUCGUGCAGUGUAA
Dendronephthya gigantea is the source of this 1065-nucleotide RNA transcript. It is a transcript of the gene named cancer-related nucleoside-triphosphatase-like, with no coding region annotated. The transcript is spliced from 7 exons. NCBI's taxonomy places the organism in Eukaryota, Metazoa, Cnidaria, Anthozoa, Malacalcyonacea, Nephtheidae. The record is from RefSeq and is a predicted model, not a curated record.